GCGGAAGUGGCGGAAUUGGCAGACGCGCUAGCUUUAGGCGCUAGUAUCGGUUAACGAUGUGGGGGUUCGAGUCCCUUUUUCCGCACCA
This 88-nucleotide transfer RNA is filed under the name Mollicutes bacterium. Its description in RNAcentral is "tRNA-Leu". It matches the Rfam family "tRNA". Rfam says of the family: Transfer RNA (tRNA) molecules are approximately 80 nucleotides in length. Their secondary structure includes four short double-helical elements and three loops (D, anti-codon, and T loops). Further hydrogen bonds mediate the characteristic L-shaped molecular structure. tRNAs have two regions of fundamental functional importance: the anti-codon, which is responsible for specific mRNA codon recognition, and the 3' end, to which the tRNAs corresponding amino acid is attached (by aminoacyl-tRNA synthetases). tRNAs cope with the degeneracy of the genetic code in two manners: having more than one tRNA (with a specific anti-codon) for a particular amino acid; and 'wobble' base-pairing, i.e. permitting non-standard base-pairing at the 3rd anti-codon position. Lineage: Bacteria; Bacillati; Mycoplasmatota; Mollicutes. The record is from RNAcentral.